This 498-nucleotide long non-coding RNA is filed under the name Setaria italica (foxtail millet). RNAcentral describes it as "long non-coding RNA (SITA_LNC003336)". Lineage: Eukaryota; Viridiplantae; Streptophyta; Magnoliopsida; Poales; Poaceae. The record is from RNAcentral.
GUUGAUAUGUGGUUUGUCAGACAGCAAUAGGUAAUGCCAAGCAAAUACUGAGAAGUGAAAACUGCCACCUGUAGUAACUUCACCUAUUACAAUGCUGUCCAAAAUGACAGAAAGCCAUAAUUACCCUAACCAUGGAAUCGAUGUUGUCUAUGUGCACACAUCUCAUUUACGAGAUUGUGUACUGUUUUUCGUAAAGGAUAUUUGCUGGGUAGUUACAAGAGUAUGAAGGCACGUCCAAAAGCAGCAUGAAACAAUUGUCCACUGAAACUUAAUUCAUAUCUACCUUAUGCCACAGCUGAGCUGUGAGCGAUUAUUAUGAGACAGUUGUUUCUCAUAUGAGUAGAUUUUUAAAAGGUUAAAGAUGUCAUCUUUUCAUUAUGCAGGAACUGUACCGAAAGAAAGUGCUGUAAAAUGUUAAAACCUCUUGCUUCCAUGCUACUGUUUCAUUUUCUGUACUACGUUUUGUGUCUAUGUACAUGCUUUGCAAAUCCUAUGAUC